RNAcentral lists this ribosomal RNA (478 nucleotides) under uncultured bacterium. Its description in RNAcentral is "partial 16S ribosomal RNA". It matches the Rfam family "Bacterial small subunit ribosomal RNA", at positions 28 to 523 of the family's 1533-position model. The record is from RNAcentral.
GACGAACGCUGGCGGCGUGCUUAACACAUGCAAGUCGAACGGUAAGGCCCUUCGGGGUACACGAGUGGCGAACGGGUGAGUAACACGUGGGUGAUCUGCCCUGCACUUCGGGAUAAGCCUGGGAAACUGGGUCUAAUACCGGAUAGGACUCCUGGCUUCAUGGUGGGGGGUGGAAAGCUGUUGCGGUGUGGGAUGGGCCCGCGGCCUGUCAGCGUGUUGGUGGGGUAAUGGCCUACCAAGGCGACGACGGGUAGCCGGCCUGAGAGGGUGACCGGUCACACUGGGACUGAGAUACGGCCCAGACUCCUACGGGAGGCAGCAGUGGGGAAUAUUGCACAAUGGGCGCAAGCCUGAUGCAGCGACGCCGCGUGAGGGAUGACGGCCUUCGGGUUGUGAACCUCUUUCAGCUAUGACGAAGCGCAAGCGACGGUAGUAGCAGAAGAAGGACCGGCCAACUACGUGCCAGCAGCCGCCGUAA